GAUGAACGCUGGCGGCGUGCCUAAUACAUGCAAGUCGAGCGAACAGACGAGGAGCUUGCUCCUCUGACGUUAGCGGCGGACGGGUGAGUAACACGUGGAUAACCUACCUAUAAGACUGGGAUAACUUCGGGAAACCGGAGCUAAUACCGGAUAAUAUAUUGAACCGCAUGGUUCAAUAGUGAAAGACGGUUUUGCUGUCACUUAUAGAUGGAUCCGCGCCGCAUUAGCUAGUUGGUAAGGUAACGGCUUACCAAGGCAACGAUGCGUAGCCGACCUGAGAGGGUGAUCGGCCACACAGGAACUGAGACACGGUCCAGACUCCUACGGGAGGCAGAAGUAGGGAAUCUUCCGCAAUGGGCGAAAGCCUGACGGAGCAACGCCGCGUGAGUGAUGAAGGUCUUCGGAUCGUAAAACUCUGUUAUUAGGGAAGAACAAAUGUGUAAGUAACUAUGCACGUCUUGACGGGACCUAAUCAGAAAGCCACGGCUAACUACGU
This 496-nucleotide ribosomal RNA is filed under the name uncultured bacterium. RNAcentral's name for it is "partial 16S ribosomal RNA". It matches the Rfam family "Bacterial small subunit ribosomal RNA", at positions 28 to 506 of the family's 1533-position model. The record is from RNAcentral.